CGGCAUAGGGCGCGUCGAGCUCGGUAGUGCGGCCUUCUUCCACCCGGGCCCUCCACGGCCUCGGCUUGUGCCGGGUGGCCCGUGGGGGGCCCGGGAGCAGCCUCGGUCCCUGUCCUGCGGACGCUAGAAGCCCGAACCCUCGCGGCAGCCACCGCGGGGCCACGCCGCGAUUCUGCAGGGACUCUUUUGCCAGCGAUGCGCCUGGAUGGCGGCAGCCUCUGCGCGCGCCCUCCACUACUCCACCGGCCCCCUACUGUCCAGGUCGGGCCACGGAGAAGCCCCAGCUAGGCCUUCGAGGACAUCUCCGGGUGGCGGCGAGCAUGGCAUGGCGGGAAGAAUGGCAACCACCUGACAGCCAAGGCUGGCCCUUCGGGGCUUCUGCGGCCUGAGGCGGCGGGUCUGCGCAAGAACACUCGGCCAUCCCAGGGAGGGGUCGGACCCUGAACGAGCGCUCAGAACUGGAUGAACAGAGGCCUCGAUGGGACUGGACGAAGGUGAGAGGGCCCCGAAUAGCGGCGAGAGGAACGAUCGAUUGUUGGGCCGCGGGUCUUCCUUCCAUCCAAGAGAAGCCGGGACGCGACAAUCGCCUGUGGCCAAUCGGAAACGCUGGCGAAGACUUACCUGCCGCCGUAGAAGGCCUGUGUAUAUAAUAUGAAAAAGCUGCUCUCAACCUUUCCCCCGACCCUUUUCAGACUUUUGGCUAAAUCUGGUCAUGUAGCUGUAGAGAUUGCCGACGUAGGGUAGAGGUAGAAUACACGCGUGUACCCAGGCGUCAUAAAAAGAAGAUCGGAGACUCGUCUUCUACAAGUGACUUUGAAGUGGAAUUGUUGAGGCCGCCUCUAGAAAGACCCAGGAGCGACACUGGUUCCUGUUUGUUCAGUAGUUUAGAGGACCC
Molecule: long non-coding RNA, 895 nt
Filed under: Rattus norvegicus (Norway rat)
Lineage: Eukaryota; Metazoa; Chordata; Mammalia; Rodentia; Muridae
Description: long non-coding RNA NONRATT018824
Source: RNAcentral